AUCCAGAUGACGAGUUCCAAGUGGGACGAAAUAUGUGUCAUGGAU
Molecule: non-coding RNA, 45 nt
Filed under: Schistosoma haematobium
Lineage: Eukaryota; Metazoa; Platyhelminthes; Trematoda; Strigeidida; Schistosomatidae
Source: RNAcentral